GAUGAACGCUGGCGGUAUGCUUAACACAUGCAAGUCGAGCGGACUCUUCGGAGUUGGUGGCGGACGGGUGAGUAACGCGUGAGAAUCUGGCUUUGGGUUCGGGACAACCACUGGAAACGGUGGCUAAUACCGGAUGUGCCGAGAGGUAAAAGAGAAAUUGCCUGAAGAUGAGCUCGCGUCUGAUUAGCUAGUUGGUGAGGUAAAGGCUCACCAAGGCAGCGAUCAGUAGCUGGUCUGAGAGGAUGACCAGCCACACUGGGACUGAGACACGGCCCAGACUCCUACGGGAGGCAGCAGUGGGGAAUUUUCCGCAAUGGGCGAAAGCCUGACGGAGCAAUACCGCGUGAGGGAAGAAGGCUCUUGGGUUGUAAACCUCUUUUCUUAGGGAAGAACAAAAUGACGGUACCUAAGGAAUCAGCAUCGGCUAACUCCGUG
RNAcentral lists this ribosomal RNA (435 nucleotides) under uncultured bacterium. Its description in RNAcentral is "partial 16S ribosomal RNA". It matches the Rfam family "Bacterial small subunit ribosomal RNA", at positions 28 to 507 of the family's 1533-position model. The record is from RNAcentral.